Molecule: ribosomal RNA, 425 nt
Filed under: uncultured bacterium
Lineage: Bacteria
Description: bacterial SSU rRNA
Rfam family: Bacterial small subunit ribosomal RNA
Source: RNAcentral
GUAGGGAAUCUUGCGCAAUGGGCGAAAGCCUGACGCAGCCAUGCCGCGUGAAUGAUGAAGGUCUUAGGAUUGUAAAAUUCUUUCACCGGGGACGAUAAUGACGGUACCCGGAGAAGAAGCCCCGGCUAACUUCGUGCCAGCAGCCGCGGUAAUACGAAGGGGGCUAGCGUUGCUCGGAAUUACUGGGCGUAAAGGGCGCGUAGGCGGACAGUUUAGUCAGAGGUGAAAGCCCAGGGCUCAACCUUGGAAUUGCCUUUGAUACUGGCUGUCUUGAGUACGGGAGAGGUGAGUGGAACUCCGAGUGUAGAGGUGAAAUUCGUAGAUAUUCGGAAGAACACCAGUGGCGAAGGCGACUCACUGGCCCGUUACUGACGCUGAGGCGCGAAAGCGUGGGGAGCAAACAGGAUUAGAUACCCGGGUAGUCC